ACGUCCUGCUCGUGAUCGUCUUCUCACCCUUCACGGAGCAGGCGGUACAAGGGAAGGCUCCCGCAGGCCCGAUGCCUGCGGGAGCCUUCC
Molecule: small RNA, 90 nt
Organism: Streptomyces bungoensis
Lineage: Bacteria; Bacillati; Actinomycetota; Actinomycetes; Kitasatosporales; Streptomycetaceae
Rfam family: sodF sRNA
About the family: Identified in Streptomyces coelicolor.
Source: Rfam